UACUUGUACAAUGAGCGGUUAGA
Molecule: microRNA, 23 nt
Filed under: Pristionchus pacificus
Lineage: Eukaryota; Metazoa; Nematoda; Chromadorea; Rhabditida; Neodiplogasteridae
Description: ppc-miR-8245b-3p
Source: miRBase by way of RNAcentral